AAAAGAUCUUUACCAACCCUACAACAGAUAGAGGCCUUAUAUCCAAAAUAUACAAAGAACUCAAGAAGUUAGACCGUAGGGAGACAAAUAACCCUAUUAAAAAUGGGGCUCAGAGCUAAACAAAGAAUUCACAGCUGAGGAAUGCCGAAUGGCUGAGAAACACCUAAAGAGAUGUUCAACAUCUUAAUCAUAAGGGAAAUGCAAAUCAAAACAACCCUGAGAUUUCACCUCACACCAGUGAGAAUGGCUAAAAUCAAAAACUCAGGUGACAGCAGAUGCUGGAGAGGAUGUGGAGAAAGAGGAACACUCCUCCAUUGUUGGUGGGAUUGCAGACUGGUACAACCAUUCUGGAAAUCAGUGUGGAGGUUCCUCAGAAAAUUGGACAUUGAACUGCCUGAGGAUCCAGCUAUACCUCUCUUGGGCAUAUACCCAAAAGAUUCCUCAACAUACAAAAGAGACACGUGCUCCACUAUGUUCAUCGCAGCCUUAUUUAUAAUAGCCAGAAACUGGAAAGAACCCAGAUGCCCUUCAACAGAGGAAUGGAUACAGAAAAUGUGGUACAUCUACACAAUGGAAUAUUACUCAGCUAUCAAAAACAACGAGUUUG
This 607-nucleotide long non-coding RNA is filed under the name Rattus norvegicus (Norway rat). Its description in RNAcentral is "long non-coding RNA NONRATT011135". The record is from RNAcentral. Lineage: Eukaryota; Metazoa; Chordata; Mammalia; Rodentia; Muridae.